Molecule: ribosomal RNA, 1306 nt
Filed under: Escherichia coli
Lineage: Bacteria; Pseudomonadati; Pseudomonadota; Gammaproteobacteria; Enterobacterales; Enterobacteriaceae
Description: partial 23S ribosomal RNA
Rfam family: Bacterial large subunit ribosomal RNA
Source: RNAcentral
AGUCGAUGGGAAACAGGUUAAUAUUCCUGUACUUGGUGUUACUGCGAAGGGGGGACGGAGAAGGCUAUGUUGGCCGGGCGACGGUUGUCCCGGUUUAAGCGUGUAGGCUGGUUUUCCAGGCAAAUCCGGAAAAUCAAGGCUGAGGCGUGAUGACGAGGCACUACGGUGCUGAAGCAACAAAUGCCCUGCUUCCAGGAAAAGCCUCUAAGCAUCAGGUAACAUCAAAUCGUACCCCAAACCGACACAGGUGGUCAGGUAGAGAAUACCAAGGCGCUUGAGAGAACUCGGGUGAAGGAACUAGGCAAAAUGGUGCCGUAACUUCGGGAGAAGGCACGCUGAUAUGUAGGUGAAGCGACUUGCUCGUGGAGCUGAAAUCAGUCGAAGAUACCAGCUGGCUGCAACUGUUUAUUAAAAACACAGCACUGUGCAAACACGAAAGUGGACGUAUACGGUGUGACGCCUGCCCGGUGCCGGAAGGUUAAUUGAUGGGGUCAGCGCAAGCGAAGCUCUUGAUCGAAGCCCCGGUAAACGGCGGCCGUAACUAUAACGGUCCUAAGGUAGCGAAAUUCCUUGUCGGGUAAGUUCCGACCUGCACGAAUGGCGUAAUGAUGGCCAGGCUGUCUCCACCCGAGACUCAGUGAAAUUGAACUCGCUGUGAAGAUGCAGUGUACCCGCGGCAAGACGGAAAGACCCCGUGAACCUUUACUAUAGCUUGACACUGAACAUUGAGCCUUGAUGUGUAGGAUAGGUGGGAGGCUUUGAAGUGUGGACGCCAGUCUGCAUGGAGCCGGCCUUGAAAUACCACCCUUUAAUGUUUGAUGUUCUAACGUUGACCCGUGAUCCGGGUUGCGGACAGUGUCUGGUGGGUAGUUUGACUGGGGCGGUCUCCUCCUAAAGAGUAACGGAGGAGCACGAAGGUUGGCUAAUCCUGGUCGGACAUCAGGAGGUUAGUGCAAUGGCAUAAGCCAGCUUGACUGCGAGCGUGACGGCGCGAGCAGGUGCGAAAGCAGGUCAUAGUGAUCCGGUGGUUCUGAAUGGAAGGGCCAUCGCUCAACGGAUAAAAGGUACUCCGGGGAUAACAGGCUGAUACCGCCCAAGAGUUCAUAUCGACGGCGGUGUUUGGCACCUCGAUGUCGGCUCAUCACAUCCUGGGGCUGAAGUAGGUCCCAAGGGUAUGGCUGUUCGCCAUUUAAAGUGGUACGCGAGCUGGGUUUAGAACGUCGUGAGACAGUUCGGUCCCUAUCUGCCGUGGGCGCUGGAGAACUGAGGGGGGCUGCUCCUAGUACGAGAGGACCGGAGUGGACGC